GGGGGGAAGAGAGAUUAACCACUCGGACUUGUCUCUGGAGCCGAGCCAAAGCGAGCAGUCGGAUUACAGCCCGGGGAAGAAAAAGGGAGGAAAAAAAAACUAAAAACAAACAAAAAAGAAAAUCAGCUACUGUUUUCACGCAGGGAGGGAGCCGUCGGCUUCCCUGCCCUGCCGCUGCUGUCAGGGCACCGCCUCCCCCCCGGCCGGGAGCCCCAUCCCCGCCUCGCCGGGAGCCCCACCGGCUCCUCUCCGCUACCACAGGUUUUAAAUGCAACGCCGUAACGCGCAGCGUGGGCAUGAAACGGCGAGAGCUUCUGUACGUGAGCCCGAACUGCCAAAACGCGAAGGGGGCAGGUCCACCCUGAAAUACAGUCCGUAAAAAGAGCAAAUUCAGAGAUGUUUUAGAGACUACACCUGCCUCCUGGCAGUCUGCCCGACCAUCUUUGAAAAGGCCCCCACUGAGUUUAUUUACACAUUUGAAGUAUCCCAGGCUGUUUUGCAUGUACAGUGAUAAAAUGCAGCAGGGACAGGAUCACAAUUAACACUGAAACCAAUGUUAUAAACAACUGGAGAAAAAGAGCACUGCCAGAAGCAUGAGGCAGACUCUUUGCAAAGGAAACUACAGGAAAAUCUACCAGGGCUGAUACCUGGCAUAGUUUUAUAACACAUGGACUGUUUAAUAGUGUGUUUAUUCAGCAUCUGUCUGCUCCCAGUUGGUACAGCACAGCACAGAACCUGAGUGAAUCCAUCCCAUAGAUCCACUAAUACUAGCCUUUAAUUGAUGCAAGCAUUUGGAAUUUACGGUUGCAGAGCACGCACAGAAAGCACAAAAUACAGGUUUUAAACAAGAUCAAAAGGAGGCUCUGCAGUUCCUGAGACACACCAUCACAAGUGUGUUUGUGCUCGCCACUUGGCACUAUCCUAUAAACAAGGUAAUUAUUUGAUAAAACAUGAAUUUAAAGGGCAGAGUAAGUGCUAAGCUACUGUCCAUCCAGACUUUCUCCAGGAAAACAGCCUUACAAGCUUUCACCUUUGGGACAACAGAACUUACCAUCUGAAAGUUUCCACGUGUCCUGCUGCCCAGCCUGAAGGCAGAUGUAGCAGGCAACUGACUCCACCUGACAACCACCACAUGACUAAAGCCUUGUCUGCCACUUUCCUUGUUUGCGUCACAACAGAGGACCCAAGAAGGACGCUGAAGCAAACCAGUUUGAGAGUCAUCUACAACAUUACAGAAAAAGAGCAUUACUGAAUGAAGGCCAAGGUCAGCUAAUACCACGGAGAUCCUGCUAGAAGUGUUGGUACUGGAAACCACCUGCUAAGCCACUAGAGAGUCAUACAGUUUUGUGUCACAGAAACACAAGGAAGAUACCUCAAGGGGACGAGGUAAUUACCUCAGUUCUUUGAAAUGCUGACAUCAAUGCAGAUUGAUUGAUUGAUCAGAGAUACUGGAAAAAGGAGAGGCAUUGAAGGAACUGGAAGAGGAAUAUCCUGCAUUUGCCUCUGAGGCCACAAAAACAGCAGCGGGAAGGAAGAGAGUCACAUGAAAGCACGUCUCCUCCAGACAGCAUCUAUCCAGAUGACAAAAGAAAUUUAAAAUAAAUGUUUAUGCCACAGGAAACAACAGGAAAACAGGAACUUUCCUGCAUAGCAUCAGGGAAGCAAAUGCAUGUUUCAGAAGAAGGCUCUAAUUACAGCUUUUUAGCUAUUUGAAGUCCCCUUAAGCUUGUAAUGUUUCAGAAGCAGAGGAAUACAGAAUUGUCAGUCCAAAAGAUACAUUGCAUCUAGGAUUUUGCCUUUUUUUUUUUUCUUUCUCUGCUUCUUCUUUGGAGUCUGCCAACAGCUACCCUGGAUACCUACAAAUAAAGUAGUGUUUCCUGGCACUUUUACCAAGAUAUGCAUUUUGAAUGGCUUCCAGAAGCAUAGAUUAAAUGUGCUUUAAGUGCCAACAGCCAUAGCCAUACCCCAAACUUUUGGUGCUUCUUUAACGCUAUCUCCUCACACAAGUUUCCACUCCCACCAUGCUCAUGACUAGAACCGUACUCCUCUAGUAUUAAAUCCCCUGCUGUAUGCAAUUACGUUUACUGUAUAUUACUUUAUCAAAGUCUGUCUAUGUUUUUUUAUACUGUCCUUGUCAGCACAAUAUCUGAACCAUCUAUUUAUUUUAACAGCCCCCGAAAGAUAAUCAUAGCACUUUUUUAUGGUAUUUGGGCACUCAGAAAGCACACCAGAGCCUAACUCUCAUUAAAAUUAAUUCAAAGUAGGCACCCAUGUCUAGACAGAUUAAAUGCCAAUGUAUUGUUUCCUAUAAAUUAAGCUUUUCUAAAAGCCUACAGACAGAAAAUGUUCCUGAGGGAUCUGUCUCCUUGCCUGUUCACUUUAGCUUGAAAUGUUGGUUUCCACCAACAGGUCCAUCAGUCCAGCAUGGAGUAACUUCUGGGAGCUGUGACAGCCUGAGGUGAGACAGUCUGGUAAGCACGACCAAUGCUAUUUACGCCAAAUUUAUGAAAAAACAAAAUCUUUUGGUGCUAAGAAGUGGCUGAUAUAUUUACGAGUAGUUGAAACCAUCUGUAUUAAAAAAGAAUAAUAAAAAGAGUAUUUUUUUUUAGGUGUAUUACACUGCCACAGUCAAGCCAGGUUCAGAUUUUUCUUAAAAAGGUUUUUCAUGUAGUCAGAACCAGUCCUCAAGAAAAAAGACCAAGACAAUGCAGACAGUUAGCAACAAACAACCAAAACCAUCAAGACAGUGACAGAAACCACUUUGAACUACCCCUUUUAAACUUUAGCCACUGACCCAGCUUCUCUUCAUCCAGACAGAAAUGGUCUGAAGGCUGGCAGGAGGCAAUUGUCCUUCUCCUGCAAGCACACUCAUACCCCUGCCAUCUUGAGUCCAUGGCAGCUUAUGAUUUCCUCUUCUAAGUCCCCAGGGAUACCAAACAGGAUGCAAGAGUCUUGCUCUGUGUAGUCAGGGACAUCCCGAGUGUGUACACCUGGAGUGUAUACUGCUUGAAAGUCAGACUGCUUCUGUCAGCACAUAUUCAAAGUGAACAGA
Non-coding RNA from Phalacrocorax carbo (great cormorant), 3052 nucleotides. The record is from RefSeq and is a predicted model, not a curated record. Lineage: Eukaryota; Metazoa; Chordata; Aves; Suliformes; Phalacrocoracidae.